GGAAAGGCGCGCGAUACAGGGUGACAGCCCCGUACACAAAAAUGCACAUGCUGUGAGCUCGAUGAGUAGGGCGGGACACGUGGUAUCCUGUCUGAAUAUGGGGGGACCAUCCUCCAAGGCUAAAUACUCCUGACUGACCGAUAGUGAACCAGUACCGUGAGGGAAAGGCGAAAAGAACCCCGGCGAGGGGAGUGAAAAAGAACCUGAAACCGUGUACGUACAAGCAGUGGGAGCACGCUUAGGCGUGUGACUGCGUACCUUUUGUAUAAUGGGUCAGCGACUUAUAUUCUGUAGCAAGGUUAACCGAAUAGGGGAGCCGAAGGGAAACCGAGUCUUAACUGGGCGUUAAGUUGCAGGGUAUAGACCCGAAACCCGGUGAUCUAGCCAUGGGCAGGUUGAAGGUUGGGUAACACUAACUGGAGGACCGAACCGACUAAUGUUGAAAAAUUAGCGGAUGACUUGUGGCUGGGGGUGAAAGGCCAAUCAAACCGGGAGAUAGCUGGUUCUCCCCGAAAGCUAUUUAGGUAGCGCCUCGUGAAUUCAUCUCCGGGGGUAGAGCACUGUUU
This 566-nucleotide ribosomal RNA is filed under the name Escherichia coli. RNAcentral's name for it is "partial 23S ribosomal RNA". It matches the Rfam family "Bacterial large subunit ribosomal RNA", at positions 344 to 915 of the family's 2925-position model. The record is from RNAcentral. Lineage: Bacteria; Pseudomonadati; Pseudomonadota; Gammaproteobacteria; Enterobacterales; Enterobacteriaceae.